AUAAAAUGGAAUCAAAAAGCUUUCAAAUACAUGGGAAGAUACGACAGUGUCGCACUAAAGAGAGCAGGCCAAUGAAAAGGAAACGAAUUAUCAGUGAUUCGAUAUCAACAGAACAAGAUUGUCUAUCUGCUGAUACAUCUGACACAUCUUCAGGAGAACACAUGCCACAUGACGAGAAGAGAAAACUGAAAGACUGGCAAUC
Molecule: long non-coding RNA, 202 nt
Organism: Haliotis rubra (blacklip abalone)
Lineage: Eukaryota; Metazoa; Mollusca; Gastropoda; Lepetellida; Haliotidae
Exons: 3
Source: RefSeq, a predicted model, not a curated record